Molecule: non-coding RNA, 24 nt
Filed under: Mus musculus (house mouse)
Lineage: Eukaryota; Metazoa; Chordata; Mammalia; Rodentia; Muridae
Source: RNAcentral
UACCAGUUGGAUAAUGCACUUCCU